RNAcentral lists this ribosomal RNA (1130 nucleotides) under uncultured bacterium. RNAcentral describes it as "bacterial SSU rRNA". It matches the Rfam family "Bacterial small subunit ribosomal RNA", at positions 8 to 1104 of the family's 1533-position model. The record is from RNAcentral.
AGAGUUGAACCUGGCUCAGGGCGAACGCUAGCGGCGCGCCUAACACAUGCAAGUCGUGCGGGAAAGGGCUUCGGCCCUAGUACCGCGGCAGACGGGUGAGUAACACGUGAGCAACCUGUCCCCGGGUCUGGGAUAACCACCCGAAAGGGUGGCUAACACCGGAUAAAGUCACCGGGCGCAAGCUCGGUGAUGAAAGGGGGCCUCUGCAUAGCAAGCUCCUGCCUGGGGAGGGGCUCGCGGCCCAUCAGCUAGUUGGUGGGGUAACGGCCCACCAAGGCUAUGACGGGUAGCCGGCCUGAGAGGGUGGUCGGCCACACGGGCACUGAGACACGGGCCCGACUCCUACGGGAGGCAGCAGUGGGGAAUCUUGGGCAAUGGGCGAAAGCCUGACCCAGCGACGCCGCGUGGGGGAAGAAGGCCUUCGGGUCGUAAACCCCUGUUCUGGGGGAAGAACCCUGAACGGGUUAAUAGCCCGUUCAGGCUGACGGUACCCCAGGAGAAAGCCACGGCUAACUGCGUGCCAGCAGCCGCGGUAAUACGCAGGUGGCGAGCGUUGCCCGGAAUCACUGGGCGUAAAGGGUGCGUAGGCGGCAGGGCAAGUCGCGGGUUAAAGCCCGGGGCUCAACCCCGGAAAGGCCUGCGAUACUGCCUUGCUUGAGGGCCGGAGAGGCUGGCGGAAUUCCCGGUGUAGGGGUGAAAUCCGUAGAUAUCGGGAGGAACACCGGUGGGGAAGCCGGCCAGCUGGACGGUUCCUGACGCUGAGGCACGAAAGCGUGGGGAGCAAACCGGAUUAGAUACCCGGGUAGUCCACGCCGUAAACGAUGGGUGCUAGGUCUGGGGAGGAAACUCUCUGGGCCGAAGCUAACGCGUUAAGCACCCCGCCUGGGGAGUACGGCCGCAAGGCUGAAACUCAAAGGAAUUGACGGGGGCCCGCACAAGCGGUGGAGCACGUGGUUUAAUUCGAUGCAAAGCGAAGAACCUUACCUGGGCUUGACAUGCCAGGGUUGUACCCCGGUGGAAACACUGGGGGAGCGUGGGUUUUUACUCACGCGCUCUGGCACAGGUGCUGCAUGGCUGUCGUCAGCUCGUGCCGUGAGGUGUUGGGUUAAGUCCCGCAACGAGCGCAACCC